ACACCUCAACUCUUCAUGGUUUUCCAUGAUGAGCUUGGACUUUGGGGGUCUUGCUGGCCUGCGGUCAGCUCCUCUCAAACAAAUCAGCUUGCCAGUGUUUGGUGGGCAUCACAGGUGUGAUAACUAUCUACGCUUGUGGUCUUCCACCAGGUAACCUUCAGCAGUGGAGGUUCGCUGGAGCUCACAGAUGUCUCUCCUCAGUGAGGACAGCCCUUUGAAU
This 220-nucleotide unclassified non-coding RNA is filed under the name uncultured Tomentella. RNAcentral describes it as "sequence contains ITS2". Lineage: Eukaryota; Fungi; Basidiomycota; Agaricomycetes; Thelephorales; Thelephoraceae. The record is from RNAcentral.